UACGGAGGGUGCAAGCGUUAUCCGGAUUCACUGGGUUUAAAGGGUGUGUAGGCGGGUAUUUAAGUCAGUGGUGAAAUCUCCGAGCUCAACUCGGAAACUGCCAUUGAUACUAUUUAUCUUGAAUAUUGUUGAGGUAGGCGGAAUAUGUCAUGUAGCGGUGAAAUGCUUAGAUAUGACAUAGAACACCGAUUGCGAAGGCAGAUCUCUGGGCCGUAACUGACGCUGAGGAGCGAAAAGCGUGGGGAGCGAACAGG
RNAcentral lists this ribosomal RNA (254 nucleotides) under uncultured bacterium. RNAcentral's name for it is "partial 16S ribosomal RNA". It matches the Rfam family "Bacterial small subunit ribosomal RNA", at positions 524 to 776 of the family's 1533-position model. The record is from RNAcentral.